Molecule: ribosomal RNA, 593 nt
Filed under: Enterobacter cloacae
Lineage: Bacteria; Pseudomonadati; Pseudomonadota; Gammaproteobacteria; Enterobacterales; Enterobacteriaceae
Description: partial 23S ribosomal RNA
Rfam family: Bacterial large subunit ribosomal RNA
Source: RNAcentral
AUGGCUGGUGUUCUAACGUAGACCCGUAAUCCGGGUUGCGGACAGUGUCUGGUGGGUAGUUUGACUGGGGCGGUCUCCUCCCAAAGAGUAACGGAGGAGCACGAAGGUUAGCUAAUCCUGGUCGGACAUCAGGAGGUUAGUGCAAUGGCAUAAGCUAGCUUGACUGCGAGAGUGACGGCUCGAGCAGGUGCGAAAGCAGGUCAUAGUGAUCCGGUGGUUCUGAAUGGAAGGGCCAUCGCUCAACGGAUAAAAGGUACUCCGGGGAUAACAGGCUGAUACCGCCCAAGAGUUCAUAUCGACGGCGGUGUUUGGCACCUCGAUGUCGGCUCAUCACAUCCUGGGGCUGAAGUAGGUCCCAAGGGUAUGGCUGUUCGCCAUUUAAAGUGGUACGCGAGCUGGGUUUAGAACGUCGUGAGACAGUUCGGUCCCUAUCUGCCGUGGGCGCUGGAGAAUUGAGGGGGGCUGCUCCUAGUACGAGAGGACCGGAGUGGACGCAUCACUGGUGUUCGGGUUGUCAUGCCAAUGGCACUGCCCGGUAGCUAAAUGCGGAAGAGAUAAGUGCUGAAAGCAUCUAAGCACGAAACUUGCCCCGA